Lathyrus oleraceus (garden pea) is the source of this 379-nucleotide long non-coding RNA. RefSeq lists it as uncharacterized. The record is from RefSeq and is a predicted model, not a curated record. The transcript is spliced from 2 exons. NCBI's taxonomy places the organism in Eukaryota, Viridiplantae, Streptophyta, Magnoliopsida, Fabales, Fabaceae.
AAACAUUACAAAAUUCAAUUCAUUAAACGAAGAAGAUACAAAGAAAUGACUCAAAAAGAAAAACUUUUCAUAGGAGCCUUGAUUGUGUUUCUUAUACUUUCAUUUGGUAUGCACAAAAUUGAAUGUAGAAGAGUAGUACAUCUGAAAUGCAUUGGAAAAUGUACAGAAUUUCAUGAUUGUAAUGCUGAAUGCAAAGAUAGGGGUUACACAAGAGGGGAAUGUGCUGCACCUGAUUAUCUCGAUUGUUGUUGUAUAUAUAUUACUCAUAAGUUCAAUGAUUAGCUUAAAAUAAGAGCUUUUCUUCAAGUUAAAAUAAAGUGUAUGUUUCAAAAAUAAUUAAGUUUCAUUACAAUAAAGUGAAAAUAUGAUAUAUUAAUUA